Gossypium arboreum is the source of this 144-nucleotide non-coding RNA. The record is from Rfam. NCBI's taxonomy places the organism in Eukaryota, Viridiplantae, Streptophyta, Magnoliopsida, Malvales, Malvaceae.
UGUUAAAAUUUUUAUCCAUUUUUACUGUUAAAAUUUAGUGUAACUAACAGAAUAAUAGAUAGUUACAUGUGGCGUACCAUGUAUGCCUUAUGCUAACGUACAUAGACUAGUUUUUAAUGAUAAAAAUGGAUGAAAUUUUUAAUG